RNAcentral lists this ribosomal RNA (468 nucleotides) under uncultured bacterium. RNAcentral describes it as "partial 16S ribosomal RNA". It matches the Rfam family "Bacterial small subunit ribosomal RNA", at positions 28 to 507 of the family's 1533-position model. The record is from RNAcentral.
GACGAACGCUGGCGGCGUGCUUAACACAUGCAAGUCGAACGGAAAGGCCCUGCUUUUGUGGGGUGCUCGAGUGGCGAACGGGUGAGUAACACGUGAGUAACCUGCCCUUGACUUUGGGAUAACUUCAGGAAACUGGGGCUAAUACCGGCUAGGAGCUCCUGCUGCAUGGUGGGGGUUGGAAAGUUUCGGCGGUUGGGGAUGGACUCGCGGCUUAUCAGCUUGUUGGUGGGGUAGUGGCUUACCAAGGCUUUGACGGGUAUCCGGCCUGAGAGGGUGACCGGCCACAUUGGGACUGAGAUACGGCCCAGAAUCAUACGGGAGGCAGCAGUGGGGAAUAUUGCACAAUGGGCGGAAGACUGAUGCAGCAACGCCGCGUGCGGGAUGACGGCCUUCGGGUUGUAAACCGCUUUCGCCUGUGACGAAGCGUGAGUGACGGUAAUGGGUAAAGAAGCACCGGCUAACUACGUG